This 253-nucleotide ribosomal RNA is filed under the name uncultured bacterium. RNAcentral describes it as "partial 16S ribosomal RNA". It matches the Rfam family "Bacterial small subunit ribosomal RNA", at positions 524 to 776 of the family's 1533-position model. The record is from RNAcentral.
UACGUAGGUGGCAAGCGUUGUCCGGAUUUACUGGGCGUAAAGAGCGCGCAGGCGGUCGUCCAAGUCGCGUGUGAAAGCCCCCGGCUCAACUGGGGAGGGUCACGCGAUACUGGUCGACUCGAAGGCAGGAGAGGGUAGUGGAAUUCGGGGUGUAGUGGUGAAAUGCGCAGAUAUCAGGAAGAACACCCGUGGCGAAAGCGGCUCUCUGGAACGGUACUGACGCUGAGACGCGAAAGCGUGGGGAGCGAACAGG